This is a long non-coding RNA of Notothenia coriiceps (black rockcod), 1242 nucleotides long. RefSeq lists it as uncharacterized. NCBI's taxonomy places the organism in Eukaryota, Metazoa, Chordata, Actinopteri, Perciformes, Nototheniidae. The transcript is spliced from 4 exons. The record is from RefSeq and is a predicted model, not a curated record.
AACUCUACUUUAAAGACCCAUCAGGAGACAUCUCAGCUGCAGCUCCAAAGCCGUCCGUCACUAUUCUCACUGCCACCACAGACCGGGCUCUUCUGCAGUGUGAGGUUCCUGGUGCUUCUCUAAACACUAAAGCAGAGUGGCAGAGCAGAGAUGGAAACAGACUGGAAGCUGAGGAGAAACGAGUCCCAGAGGAAGACCACGUCUUCAUCUCUCUCAGCGUUAAUGUGACCAGGACAGACCUCUACCUCUGUGUGGUCUCUCAGGAGGACAUCAAGCAUCGGGUCUCUGCUCAGACCUUUGUGUUCAUCAACGAGAGCAAGUGAGGACUCAGACAGCAGGGGCCAUGGUUAUUGCUGGCAUAGUUUCAUUUGUUUCGGGAGCUUUAAUUCUUAUUGCAGUUCAGAAGGUAUUGCUUGUAGGGAAGCCCAGGGAAAUACAAAGGUUCUGCUCUGAAGGAAAGAGAGCCAGACAAACGGCUCCGUUAUAGAUCCUUCAGAGGAGCCACUGAGGUCAGACGAAAAGUGUUAGCGUUACAUCUGAUGUAAAGGUGUGUGUCUGAGUUUGUUGAGUGUGAGGACAUUUCAGGCCGGCUGGUGCAGACCUUCAAAAGCCUUUCUGAGGGGUUCAAUUAGACUUAAGUAUAUAGUAGCUCCUGGUGCAUGGGCUCAAAGAUUUAAUAUUAAACUCUCUUUAUAAACCCAACCUUAACCCUUUGUUUCCACACAGCUUUGUUCUGUGAUUGUAAUUCUGUAAAGUAUACAGAGAGAGCCCCUAGUGUUCAAGGCAAGGAACCUGAAGCGUUGCAGAGACAAACACAGGACCAGAAGAUCAGAACAAUAGAAUCAUUACAUGUAUAUGAAAGCUUCCUGUUAUUAAACGUUGCUUUAUGAGGUGCAGGCUGCUAACAGAUACUUUAGCAGAGUGCAAUUAUUCACCAUGUGCUGAACUACUCAACAAGUUUCUUUUACUAAAUACCAUACGACUGACUGUGAUUAAUCUACAGCAGUGAAAAUAGAGAACUAGCUGAAUGAGAAGUGAAUAUAGUAUAAAUAAAAGUAUCAGUCAGACUGCUGAUGAGAGUCUGAUGGUCCUCAGGGUUCAUCUGUCAAUCACACAUUCAUUCAGUAACUAACACACACUGCCAACAUGGACAUGUUUGGUUUGGGUUAACAAUAAUAUUUCUGCAUUGUAUGCAACUUGAUUUAUGUAAUAUAUGUUUUUAUUCUCUCUGCUGCAGGUUCU